Molecule: long non-coding RNA, 1764 nt
Organism: Electrophorus electricus (electric eel)
Lineage: Eukaryota; Metazoa; Chordata; Actinopteri; Gymnotiformes; Gymnotidae
Source: RefSeq, a predicted model, not a curated record
CACUCAAUUGCUCAAGUUGUACUCAGUCAUAAUUGUAAGAUGUUUUGGAUAAAAGUGUCAGAUAAAUGUAAAUUUCAGAAAGGUGACAAAUCACACUUCAGUUCACCUCUCUUCUGGUUUAGAAUUUCUUGCAUGAAACACUAACACAAUUAGAAUGCAUAAAUGUUGUCUUUGAAGAAUUCUGACACCAAAGUAAUUUAUAACCUGUGUUUGCUUUGUGUUAAAUUAUUAGUAUUCUUCAGGCUUAUUUCUAGUAGGUUUUCGGUUCCCGUGAAAUGUCCGUUUUGUGUAUGAAGCAUUUUGGCAGCUGGUUACCCUGCAGCACUGUAAACAAACAUGUGCAGCCUCAGCAUUUACAUUUUGUGGGGAAACACACUCAGGUGGCUUUUGUACGUUUUCUUUUUAGUCAACUCCUGUUGACUGCAAAAAGUGCUAAAUUGAAUUGUAAUUCUUAGAAAUUGAGUCAUGAUAGUAGGUUAACACCCCCAUUAAUAUUUCCAUAAGCUAAAUAAGUAAAAUCUAGUAUUGUCAUGUGUAUUUUGAAAACCAACAUAUUUAUUCACCAUGUCCCAAAAGAGUACACUUUGUAGUUGUCAGCACAGAAUUUAUCCUCCAAUUUUAAGGCUUCAGAGUAUUCCACCAGCAGUAGGUUUAAUCAUUCACCAUUACCACACUCUUAUCCAAACCACACUUCACACGUUUGACUACUGUUUCCAUGGUAACCCUCAGUAUUUGCUCUCAAAACACUCGGAUAAGAAAUUGGGGCUUCACUCAAUUUUGUUUGACUACAUAACUGAUGAGGGCACAGGAGGACCUCUGGACUGUUUAUCUGUACAUCUGUCUUCUCAGACCAUGAAGAAAAAAUUCUUUUCCACACCCCUUUUUAUAAAAAUACUUUUGUGCUACUCAUCCACUAUCAGAAAUGAUAAUAUGCAAAAGUGUUCAUUUGCAUAUAGCAGUUAAAUGGCUUAAGAUCUUCAGGUAGAUAAUUAAGACACUGCCAGUAUUCCAGUAAGAACUCAGUAGUAGAUUAAUUGAUGGUGGGAUCAAGGUGAACAGUGUGUGCACACUGGGCUAUGUCAGAUAGAGUAGGGUGCACUUUGUCUCUGAGGGCUAGUUUUGACAGUCUGGAGGAUCAUGCUUCAGGGUUAUUCAUUUUAACCUCUUUGUCCAAAGGCCUGAUUUUAUCAACUGCUCUUUCUAUAUCAUCCAACAAUAGGCUUUUGCAUGUGUGUAACUGUUUCUGUGUUUAUUUCUUUGAGAGCGAUGGCUUGUUUCCACUGAGACUGUUAACUGAACUGGAAAAGCUUCAGUAACUCUGAGGUCUAACAGCCAGACGGGCAGCAGUCGCCGAAGUGAACUUGCUGGAGGGGACCAGGACGGUCAUUGCCAUUUGUCCAGCUCAGCAGUUGGCCUCCCCAGUGAGGAGGAGGAGGAGGACAGAUGUGGGGACAGAAGUCCAGUAGCGAGCGGCUGAUCACUUAUCUCUGUCCAAGGUGUACUUCCCCGGCUGUGAUAAAUCAGGAGCCAUGCCCAAAGACUCCAGAGUGAAGCUGCUCUACUCCUUCUCCUCCUUUUCAGUUACUCUGGCAUGAAAAGCCAGUAAGACGACAGGCUUCAUUUUGACAACACACCAUUACUGCCAUACAGCAAAUGAGAACAUUUCACUCAGUGCACCAGAAGAGCUAUUUGCAGCCAAAUUAUGACUGUACUCAAAGGUCUGCCAUUCUUGCUGAUAACAUAAAGUUUUUGCGAGUAAACCCA